UUAAUUAUAUCUAAGCCGAAUGUACUUCUUGAACUCGAAUUGAAACUUGAUAAGCUUUCAAUAUUAUGUCUCUGCACCUCGACGUACGACCUCGCUCCUCUAAACCCCAUAACUUUCUUUUUUUUUAAUCUCAAUUUCUAUCAGCCGCCCAGAUUCCCCUCAUCUUUGUGUAUGUAUUGUGGUCUCCAAGGAGACAGACAUUUGGAGUGAGGUUAACGCUGCUGACUGAAAGGAGGGGUGAACUCGAGUGGGUGAUCGUUAAUGGUGAAGAAGCAGAAGAAGAAGAGACGAGGGAGAGCAGCGGCUGUUGCUAUUGUGUCUUACGACGGGUUUGGGUGGUGGUCGGGGUUAGGCUACUGUUGGCUAAGGUCGACUGUGGUGAGUUGUUGAUGGUUGUUGGCUAGGGUUCAGGGGUGUGUUUUUCCAGCGGGUUUUGGGAUACGGCUGUGCAGCGGCGGCGUAGGGUAGGCGACGACUGAAGGACUAGGUGUUGUGAAGCCGGCCGAGCUAUGGUGUCGGGGGUCUGCUAGGUUAGGUUUAGUUCUAUGUCUUUUCCAUCGUUGUGUGUAGGGUUUCCAGGUUAAAGGUUUUGUUUUGUCCUCUAAUGAAGAAUAUGAAAAAAAAUGUUGUUCCCCCC
RNAcentral lists this long non-coding RNA (637 nucleotides) under Nicotiana benthamiana. Its description in RNAcentral is "long non-coding RNA (NBEN_LNC033743)". Lineage: Eukaryota; Viridiplantae; Streptophyta; Magnoliopsida; Solanales; Solanaceae. The record is from RNAcentral.